GAGCGGGGCCGGCAGAGCGCGCGGCGUCGGUGCCCUUGACCAUGGCGGCGGCUGCGCUUCUGCUGGGGCUGGCGCUACUGGCACCGCGGGCGGCCGGCGCGGGCAUGGGCGCGUGCUAUGACGGCGCAGGGCGCCCGCAGCGCUGCCUGCCGGUGUUCGAGAACGCGGCGUUUGGGCGGCUCGCCCAGGCCUCGCACACGUGCGGCAGCCCGCCCGAGGACUUCUGUCCCCACGUGGGCGCCGCGGGCGCGGGGGCUCAGUGCCAGCGCUGCGACGCCGCCGACCCCCAGCGCCACCACAACGCCUCCUACCUCACCGACUUCCACAGCCAGGACGAGAGCACCUGGUGGCAGAGCCCGUCCAUGGCCUUCGGCGUGCAGUACCCCACCUCGGUCAACAUCACCCUCCGCCUAGGGAAGGCUUACGAGAUCACGUAUGUGAGGCUGAAGUUCCACACCAGUCGCCCUGAGAGCUUCGCCAUCUACAAGCGCAGCCGCGCCGACGGCCCGUGGGAGCCCUACCAGUUCUACAGCGCCUCCUGCCAGAAGACCUACGGCCGGCCCGAGGGCCAGUACCUGCGCCCCGGCGAGGACGAGCGCGUGGCCUUCUGCACCUCUGAGUUCAGCGACAUCUCCCCGCUGAGUGGCGGCAACGUGGCCUUCUCCACCCUGGAGGGCCGGCCCAGCGCCUACAACUUUGAGGAGAGCCCUGGGCUGCAGGAGUGGGUCACCAGCACCGAACUCCUCAUCUCUCUAGACCGGCUCAACACGUUUGGGGAUGACAUCUUCAAGGACCCCAAGGUGCUCCAGUCCUACUAUUAUGCCGUGUCCGACUUCUCUGUGGGCGGCAGGUGCAAGUGCAACGGGCAUGCCAGCGAGUGCGGCCCCGACGUGGCGGGCCAGUUGGCCUGCCGGUGCCAGCACAACACCACCGGCACAGACUGUGAGCGCUGCCUGCCCUUCUUCCAGGACCGCCCGUGGGCCCGGGGCACCGCCGAGGCUGCCCACGAGUGUCUGCCCUGCAACUGCAGUGGCCGCUCCGAGGAAUGCACGUUUGAUCGGGAGCUCUUCCGCAGCACAGGCCACGGCGGGCGCUGUCACCACUGCCGUGACCACACAGCUGGGCCACACUGUGAGCGCUGUCAGGAGAAUUUCUAUCACUGGGACCCGCGGAUGCCAUGCCAGCCCUGUGACUGCCACUCGGCAGGUGAGUGGGCUCCACAUCCCCAGCCUCCGACCCUCUCCCCUUCCUGGCCUCAAUUGCCCUGUGCCCUUCCUCUCCCAGGCUCCCUACACCUCCAGUGCGAUGACACAGGCACCUGCGCCUGCAAGCCCACUGUGACUGGCUGGAAGUGUGACCGCUGUCUGCCCGGGUUCCACUCGCUCAGUGAGGGAGGCUGCAGACCCUGCACUUGCAAUCCCGCUGGCAGCCUGGACACCUGUGACCCCCGCAGUGGGCGCUGCCCCUGCAAAGAGAAUGUGGAAGGCAACCUAUGUGACAGAUGUCGCCCGGGGACCUUUAACCUGCAGCCCCACAAUCCAGCUGCAGGAGCUGCAGAUCCAGGGCUUUGAGAGUGACCUCGCCGAGAUCCGCGCCGACAAACAGAACCUGGAGGCCAUUCUGCACAGCCUGCCCGAGAACUGUGCCAGCUGGCAGUGAGGGCUGCCCAGAUCCCCGGCACGCACUCCCCCACCUGCUGUUUACAUGACCCAGGGUGUGCACACUACCCCACGGGUGUGCCCAUACAGACGUUCCCCGGAGCCGGCUGCUGUGAACUCGCCCCCGUGUGAAUAGUCACACUCCCUGCCGAUUCUGUCUGUGCCUUCUUCCCUGCCAGCAGGACUGAGUGUGCGUACCCAGUUCACCUGGACAUCAGUGCACACUCUCACCCCUGCACAUGCAUAAACAGGCACACCCCAGUGUCAAUAACAUACACACGUGAGGGUGCAUGUCUGUGUGUAUGACCCACACGUGUUCAAGUCU
This 1983-nucleotide small RNA is filed under the name Pan troglodytes (chimpanzee). Its description in RNAcentral is "processed transcript". The record is from RNAcentral. Lineage: Eukaryota; Metazoa; Chordata; Mammalia; Primates; Hominidae.